AUGAUAUGUUGAAAAUAGAAAAAGUUCCCUGGACUGACGAUUUGAAUCAUGACUGCAUAAAUUAACUCAAGUCUUCCAAGCCACCUUUUGUCUUCAGUUCCAGGUUACAGAAAUCAAAUCAAUCCCAGGGUCCUUUUACUGUGAGCAAUUGAGCACAAAGUGGUGGAUUCUCCAGCUCUUCUUUCCACAUCUAAAGUGAAUGCCUUCCUGGAAGAUACACUGUAGUCAAAAAGAAGACUGGGCUGACUAAAAGAGUGAAAUGAUGAAAUUGUGUUAGUUAUGUAGGAAGUCAUACUUCUAAAAUCUA
Molecule: long non-coding RNA, 307 nt
Organism: Alligator sinensis (Chinese alligator)
Lineage: Eukaryota; Metazoa; Chordata; Crocodylia; Alligatoridae
Exons: 3
Source: RefSeq, a predicted model, not a curated record